RNAcentral lists this ribosomal RNA (372 nucleotides) under uncultured eukaryote. RNAcentral's name for it is "SSU rRNA". It matches the Rfam family "Eukaryotic small subunit ribosomal RNA", at positions 587 to 972 of the family's 1831-position model. The record is from RNAcentral.
AGCUCCAAUAGCGUAUACUAAUGUUGUUGCAGUUAAAAAGCUCGUAGUCGGAUUUCUGUUUAUUUACAUUUGACCUUUCUUGGUUUUGAUGUGAAUUUACUUUAUGCAAGAAACUUUCAUAUUAUUCAUUUGAUAUGUUUUGGGACUUGCUCAUUUACUUUGAGAAAAUUAGAGUGUUCAAAGCAGGUAUUUGCCUGAAUAUUACUCUUGGAAUAAUAAUAUAGGACUUCAGUUCUAGUUUGUUGGUGAUCUGGAACCGGAGUAAUGAUUGAUAGGGACAGUUGGGGUCAUUCAUACUGCAAAGCGAGAGGUGGAAUUCUUGGACCUUUGUAUGAUGAACAACUGCGAAAGCAUUUGACUAGGAUGUUCCCG